RNAcentral lists this ribosomal RNA (253 nucleotides) under uncultured bacterium. RNAcentral describes it as "partial 16S ribosomal RNA". It matches the Rfam family "Bacterial small subunit ribosomal RNA", at positions 524 to 776 of the family's 1533-position model. The record is from RNAcentral.
UACAGAGGCCUCGAGCGUUAGGCGGAAUCACUGGGCUUAAAGCGUGUGUAGGCGGAGUUCUAAGUACCUUGUGAAAUCCCACGGCUCAACCGUGGAACUGCUUGGUAUACUGGUUCUCUUGAGGUACCUAGGGGCGAGCGGAACAAGUGGUGGAGCGGUGAAAUGCGUAGAUAUCACUUGGAACGCCAACGGUGAAAACAGCUCGCUGGGGGUAUCCUGACGCUGAGACGCGAAAGCGUGGGGAGCGAACAGG